GGCCGGACGGUUGCAGAACGCUUCCCGGAGUUGGGCUCCAGCGUACGCGACGCACAGCACCAGAGUCGGGAAACCUACACUAGCCGUGUGACCAACCCCCAACCCCCCGCGGCGGACGAGGCCAAGGACGCCGCUUAACGUCACAGGGGGCAGCGCGGGGCCCGACGGGAGGGCGCGUCACUGCCGCGCCUGCGCAGAAUCCGGCGGACGCAGCGGGCGGGCGAGUUAGAUCCGGCUGCGGAGCACGGCGGAGGGAGCCGUGACCUCAGCACAGUCAUAGGGCUGGGCGUCAAUUCUUCCGGUCCGCCAGCCACAUUUCCGGCCCGCCUCCCCAACCCCCGCGCUCUGCUGCCCGGUUUCCCAGAAAUGGCUAGGGGUGCCUCCUCCUGGCGUCGCACUUGCGGGAGGCCGAGGACCCCGCAUCUCCGAGCUGGGCAGAGGGGAGGGGACUUCCAGCCGGCGGCCUCCCCCGCGGCUCGGGAAGUGGCCACCUGGGGGCCCGGGGUGGAAAUGGCGGGACUGCUGUUGCGGCCGAGCCCCCAGCCCGCAGCUAGCCGGUCGGCGGCUCUCGCCCCGAAGGCUGGGGGCAGAGUGCGGGGCAGGUACGCCGCGGCCGUUCCCUGUAGCUGCCCCGCCCGCCUGCACUUCGACCCGUGAAGCGAACCGCGGAAGACCCUCGCUCCCUGACUUUCUAAACUUUAAGUGUGCGCUAGGUGUUUGUUCUUUGUCUGGAGGCACAACAGUAACAGCACCCUCCCCUGCUUCCCGCGGCAGGGAGUCACGGGCUUGGCUUUUCUCAAAGUGUCCAGUGACACGAGCAUACGAAACCGUAAAGCGUUGCUGUGUCGCAAAUGUAAGUAACCGUUCUCCAGGCGCACGACGGCCCUGCCUCCGAGCUGGGCGGUGGUUUAUGGUGUGGCUGUGGAACUGUACCCGGUCCUGUGGGACGUACUGACCCGUGGAGAGACCUUUCCCUGGGGCAGAAGUGCCUCACCGUGAGGCCGAAGUCUCCGCGUGUGUAAUUUAAAUCAAUCCAAAUAAAAUUCCCUUUAAAGCAUCUGGUGGUGAGUUCGGAAAGCUGUUCUUUUAAUCACAUGGACUUGUGUCUAAUGUGCUGCACCAGUCUGGACCCCUGCAGCAGAGCCUCUCAGGCGGUUGUGUGUCCAGGCCUCGGGUGUCCAAAUCCCAUUCAGCAUUUGAUACAUUUUUUUGCUGGAACAUGUUUACCAUUUUAGUUUUACUUAUCACCUCACCUAGCAUAACAGUUCAGUGAGUGCGCACUAGAGGUUUGUUAAAAUAAUCAUAACUCCAAAAUUUUAGUUAUGGGCCUUUUUCCCUAUGAAACAUCGUUGAAAUAUGGGGAGGAGGGAUUCUUUUUUUUUGGGGGGGGGGCUUGUUUUGGUUUGGUUUGUUUUUUUUUGGUAUCAGGAGUUGAACCCAGGGUUGCUUAACCAUUGAGCCACAUCCCCAGCCACCCUCCACCCCACUAAGUUGCUGAGGGUCUUUGAAUUUGUAAUCCUUCUGCCUCAGCCUCCCUAGUUGCUGGGAUUACAGGCCUGUGCCACAACACAUUACAGGCUGUAAUAUUUCUUGUUAAGGAUGCUCUAUUGUCAAAUAAUUAUUGC
This 1625-nucleotide long non-coding RNA is filed under the name Marmota monax (woodchuck). The record is from RNAcentral. Lineage: Eukaryota; Metazoa; Chordata; Mammalia; Rodentia; Sciuridae.